UUGUUUUUGUUAUGAUAUUACAUUCAUUACUAACAGUUUGUGAUGGCCGAAGCCACAGUUCACGGUGUAUAUGGAAGCCCUCAUCUUGCGAUAAGGGCAGAUCUAACCCAAUGAUUUGCAUCAAUGGGCACUAUUAAUGAUCCUUCCGCAGGUUCACCUACGGAAA
RNAcentral lists this unclassified non-coding RNA (166 nucleotides) under uncultured fungus. Its description in RNAcentral is "sequence contains ITS1". The record is from RNAcentral. Lineage: Eukaryota; Fungi.